UACGAAGGGGGCUAGCGUUGUUCGGAUUUACUGGGCGUAAAGCGCACGUAGGCGGAUCGUUAAGUCGGGGGUGAAAUCCUGGAGCUCAACUCCAGAACUGCCUUUGAUACUGAGGACCUUGAGUUCGGGAGAGGUGAGUGGAACUGCGAGUGUAGAGGUGAAAUUCGUAGAUAUUCGCAAGAACACCAGUGGCGAAGGCGGCUCACUGGCCCGAUACUGACGCUGAGGUGCGAAAGCGUGGGGAGCAAACAGG
Molecule: ribosomal RNA, 253 nt
Filed under: uncultured bacterium
Lineage: Bacteria
Description: partial 16S ribosomal RNA
Rfam family: Bacterial small subunit ribosomal RNA
Source: RNAcentral